GAGAGCAGCCCGCCGGGGAGGAGAGAGGUGGGCAGAGCACUCUGCAUUGAUAAGAAAUCAACCCCGUCACGUGAGAUAUGUCGCUUCCAUGUUGCUGCAUGUGGAAGCCGAUGGCAGGAGACUCACCGACGUCUUUGGUCGUCUCCCAAAACUUGAUGGUGACUCUGCCCGGGACCAACAGAGGCUCCUUGAACUGAGCCGACACGCUGACGGGAGCCGUGAUGACUCCGACCCCUGCAGACAGAACAGAGCGAGGAGAAGCCACAAGAGGCAGAAGUGCACCGCUACCCCGUGUUCUACUCGGGUUAAACCUUCUUCUUCCAGGGCUUCCGUAGCUCGCCAUAGCAAGAAAACAGAAACAAGAACAUGUCUGCUCUGAAAGCCAGGCAGACAGACAGCAUCCAGAGACUCGGUGCGCCUUGAGAUCUGUUGCCAAAGAGCCGGGCGGCGAGAGAGAGGAGCCGGUAGGGCGAGCAGUCGGAGAAGAACCAAACACACUGCAGGCCGGUGGUCCUGGGAACUCUGAGCUCUACCUGCUUCACAUCAUCUGGUUGGCCUGAAGAGCAGACACAGAGGAGACCAACAGGAAGACAGGAAGUGCUGUUUGCUGUGUGCAAAGGCUGAAAAAGCAGAAAUCUCCAGAUUGUUGCUCACGUCCGU
Long non-coding RNA from Cottoperca gobio, 660 nucleotides. RefSeq lists it as uncharacterized. The transcript has 5 exons. Lineage: Eukaryota; Metazoa; Chordata; Actinopteri; Perciformes; Bovichtidae. The record is from RefSeq and is a predicted model, not a curated record.